RNAcentral lists this long non-coding RNA (1734 nucleotides) under Melopsittacus undulatus (budgerigar). RNAcentral's name for it is "lncRNA (ENSMUNG00000020092.1)". Lineage: Eukaryota; Metazoa; Chordata; Aves; Psittaciformes; Psittaculidae. The record is from RNAcentral.
AGUGUGGGUGAAAUGGGCAAGUCAGGGCUGAUCUCACCUCCUGGGUGUGCCCGGCUCUGCAUGCUCAUGUGUUGGGAUGGGCUGUGGGGAUUUGCCACAGUCCCUCACUGGAACCCUGGUGAGCAGCCUCAUUCUGCUGGGGGGCAUGGAGCAGGUGACAUGAAAGAGGAUGGUCACCCUCACCUGCAUGCCCCUCGGGGAUGCUGCACCACCUGCAGUGGGAGCCUGAGCUGCCCCUGUGCUCUGCCGGCUGCCCUGCAUGGACGCUGGGAUGCAGAAUGGGGCUGAGGCAUCACUGGAGGGAUGCCUGAUGGCUGAGGAGCUGGAGGAGAAGCAGCGCCCGGUGGCGCAGUGGACGGUGGCCGAGGCUGGCGCCUGGCUGGCGGCACGCAGCGGGGCCGGGGAGCUGGUGGAGCUGGCACAUGAGCACGAUGUCUCGGGCCGGGUCCUGCUGCGGCUGACGGAGGGGACCCUGCGGCGCAUGGGGGUGACCCCGCGGAGCCGGCGCCGGGACCUGCUGCGGGAGCUGCUGCAACUGCGGCUACAGCAGGAACUCGAGGAGCUGCUGAGCACCGUUGGCAAGUGAAGACAGUGUCACUGCGGAUGUCCUGGAGACUGCAGGAGGACAGAUGGUGCCAUGGGAGGACAAAGCAGUACCUAGGACUGAGCACUUGAUGCAGGAGCAGUGCUGGAGGAAGCCUUGAGGUGACUUUGUCUCCCCUGGAGAAGCCCAAAGCUGGCUGGAAGAGGUGGCCACAGGGCCCCAGGUGGCACAAGUUGAAGGGUGGCUGCUGGCUCCCAGGGCGUCCUCUUGGCUCUGGCACGAUGGGGCACUCUACCAGCCCUCCCCCCGUCUCCGAUCCUGCUGCAACCAUGAAGCAGCCUGGCCUCAGGAGUGAUCCUCCAGUCUGUCUGUGGCGUAGGGCAUAGGGGGACAAGUUCCCAAGUUGCUGUGUAGAGGAACCUGUCUCCUUGGUGCCCUGGGGCUGGCAGGAGCAGGGCAGCAGAGCCCAGAACAGAACUGGUCUUAAUAAACAUUGUCCUGGUAAGUCCAGAGGGGUCCCCACUCUGAGGACCUUGAAAAGGGCUGAAAGCCCAAACCCAGCCACCACAGCCCAGGACAGGGAGUCUGCAGCCUCCUCUGCCCUGGUAUUUUUCUGGCCCUAAACUUCUGCACCGGUGCAAAGGGCCGGCCGUGAGCUGCAGGGCAGGAUCCAUCCCCAGGACCCGAUUCUCCAGAGAAGAAGAGUGGGGCAAGCAGUCCUUCCUCCCACACUACCCUGCUGUGGUCUCCCGAGUCUCAUGUGGUCCAAGGGUCUGGCUGCAUCCUGUUGACCCCUGUGGUCGGGCACCCUGAAUCCUGGUACUGGCACUAUCUGUGCCUGCUUGCUGUGCUGGAAAAUGUGGUGGGAGCUGAGCAGGCAGCCCUGUUGAGCCGAGGGACAGGAAACAGUUUGUUUUCUGCUUAUUUUAGCGCAGAUCAUGGGCAGAUUGAGAGUUUACUUUUUUUUUCACCUAGCUUGCGAAACAGGCAUUGUUUCCCAGAAAUAAAAUCCCUUCCUGGAAAGGGCUCAGACAGCCCACAGAACUGAAUUGGCUCCUCAGGCUCAUGUGUUUUCACACAAAAAGCCUCACUUCUCUUUUCCUAGGUGAAGACUUUAUCCUCUAAACAUCUCUUGAAGAUGGAGGAUGCCAAGAGGUGCUGCUCUGGCAAGUCUUCCUGCAGGAACCAGC